UCCAAGUUAAAGUUAUUAAGCCUCAAUCCUGAUGUGUUUGUGCAUAAUAAUGCUGUUUGAACAGAACCCAUGAAGUCUUGUCUAUUAUAUCCUUACUAGACGAGCAACAUGAUGUCAGAACUUGGAUUCCAGAGACUGAUAUUCAGAGCCACAAGGUGCAGAGACAACAGUGAAGGUAAACUAAAAGAAACGAGCAUGAACAAGAGCCAGAAAAGAAACAAAGGCAUGAAGAGAGCCAAGAUCACCUUUAGAAUACAGGAAAAAACUUCAGACCUCAGAAAGAAUUACAAAAUCAGAUACCAUACUGGAAGGACAAGUGGUCAAGAAAGCUUUUUUUUUUUUUUUUUUUUUUUUAGAUUAUAAGAUUUUCAAGCUAUUUCUCCACACAGCCUUUUCAUAGUGGUUUGGAGAAGACUGGAGGUCAAAUAUUGGAAAAUUGGACACAUCAAUGAACAGUAAAGACAUUGUGUUAGCUUUCCCAGUGCCUCAGCAGUGAUUGGGAGAACACAGAGCAAGGCUUACUCUAUUUUGAAUCCAGCAAUAGCUAUGUUGGAGUAGUCAACUAUCAAGACUACUGGAUUAUCAAUAAAAAAGCCAGAACUGAAGACCAUA
Molecule: long non-coding RNA, 612 nt
Organism: Protopterus annectens (West African lungfish)
Lineage: Eukaryota; Metazoa; Chordata; Ceratodontiformes; Protopteridae
Exons: 3
Source: RefSeq, a predicted model, not a curated record